Drosophila mojavensis is the source of this 412-nucleotide long non-coding RNA. RefSeq lists it as uncharacterized. The transcript is spliced from 2 exons. The record is from RefSeq and is a predicted model, not a curated record. NCBI's taxonomy places the organism in Eukaryota, Metazoa, Arthropoda, Insecta, Diptera, Drosophilidae.
CGCUUCUUAGCUUCCGGCAGGGAAAUCCUCAUCUUAUCCACCUUAUACAAUAAAAGUGUGCUUAAAGUCGUGUCUGCAUAUCUCAUUGUAUCAUCUAACACUCCUUCUAAAUAGCACAUACUUAGCUUCUCCCAACUAUGAUAUAAUACUCACAGAAUGACUUCCUUUUCCUCCAAUUGACAACAAACUUUAGCCACAGCGAUUUGUCAAUGAAUUUGUAUCAGAGGGAAUUCCGUCGAAACCAACAGAAUAGUAAGGGAAAAGUUUUUACUUGACCGAUAAACCACUGACCUACUUUGGCCCCCUCGCCCAGUUAUUCAGCUAUUUUGCCUGAAACCACUUGCCGAGCGUGAUAUAGAUUAGAUUGUAAAAUGUCUGAAAUAAAAUGAUUAUCAAAAUUCAUGAAAUAGAA